AUGCAUAAUGAUGCUCUCAUGUGUCCACCCUCCCUCUCUCCCAGUCUCUGCUGGUUUUCUGGCUGCCUCCAAGACUCUUCCCAUAAGACCCUCAAUCCCCCUCUCCUUCAUGCUCCAGGGACACACUCUGUCUGUGCUCCUGUCACAGGUUUCUGGCCCCUCAGUCAUAAAAUGAGUUAUUCAGGCACCUUCCAGCCUGUGAACCUUGCUCACCAAGACUCCCAGCCUGCCUUGUUCGGUCUGCUCCAGGCUGAGGCGGGAGCCCUCUGCCGGAGGACAGCCACUCUGCCUGGAACAUCUCUGCACUACCAGCUCCAGGCAAGCGGACACUUCAGAGGGAUCAGGGAAUUAGGAGGGAAGAGGUAACUUGGGUAACCCAACUAUAGCCAGCUUUGGUUACAAGUGUUCUGGAAUGAAAACGUUUAGGAAGUAGGCCUGCAUUCAGAUCCUUCAAAGGCUCAAAGGUAAUUGUCAUGAAUCUGUCUCCCUCUGUCUUGACUCUGUUUUCUUUUCUGUCAGUUUUAUUUUACGCAUAUGUGCCAGUUUUAUUAGCAGGCUGGCUCUUUCCAUAGGGAGGUGGAAACGGCGAAACAACCUCAAGGCAAAGAGAUCACGUCUUUCCAAAUACUUCCAGCAAAAAUCCCAGGGUUGACUCCAGUUGGCUUGGCCUGGAUCACAUGCCCAGUCCUGAAACCAUUAUAGUUGUUUUGGUUGGCUAAGCCUGAGUCGCAUGCCUGUGUCUGAAGUCAAGGGGUCGGGUCAGCCCCCUGUAGGCCCCUGGAACUAGGAGUGGGUGAGAGAUGGUUCCUUAAAAGAAAAUCGAGAUGCUAUUAGCAGAAUAACAGGGGUCCCUGACAGGUAGGAACACUGAUGUCCUCUCCCUCACAGUGCUGUUGUCAGGAUUAGAUAAGCUCAUGUAGGCAAAGUGCUCAGCAUGGUGCUUGGCUCUGGUAGAUGCUCAGUAACCGAAUCCCCUCCCUUCUUCCCUCCUCUAGGAAACAGGAAUCGUGGCUCACCAAAUCCAGCCCAACUGCUUCCUUGUUCACAUGGGGAAAUUGAGGAAGGCCUAGGGAGGGUAAGGGACUUGCCCAAGGUGCCCAGUUCAUUAGCCACAGAACCCAUGCCCCCAGCUCUGAAACAAGUUCCAGUUAAAGUCUUCGCUGAUAACUUUAAAUCCUCCACUAACCAAGGGAGUCAUCUUUGCAUUUGCACAGAGGAGACGGGAAAAAAUCACAAAGCCCUUAAGGUCCAGAGGAAAUGAGUGUCACCACAUUGGGCUCCCAGGCUGUGCAACAAGCUGUGGACUGAGAUGUCUGGGCAGGGAGCCCGGUCCAGCUCCCUACCCAUCGCAUCAUGGAGUCAGCCAUCUCCUCUGGGGACUGCACCCUCUGGGUGCUGAGAAAUCCAAAUGGCUCUUUUUCAUGCAGCCGCCCCAAGUGUGCAAGAUGGCCUUUCUCUUGAUUUAUUUCCUGCUUACUUUAUGAGAGUCAAAGUGCAUCCUUCAGGACCAAAGUGGCCAAGGGGCCAGCAUGUUAUUUAGAGUGAUCAAAAUGGACCAUUUUCAACUUGGCCCUAAUUCAUCUUCAGAGUUUUGGUUUCCACUUGCUUUUACUUAUCUGUAUUUUCUAGCAUUUCUUUAGCAAAUUUGUAUUACUUUGGCAAUUAGAAAAAAUGACCAGUAAUUUUUAUAAAAGGAUUUGUGUUUGAUUUCCUUUCAGAAAGGCACUUUCAUUUAUUAAAAGAUCACAAUGAGAAGUGAGAUUAAAUUGAUCUUUCUCUCUGGCAAGGAUGUGUGGGGAGGAAUGGGGAGGUGAAUGCUGGGAGCAGAAGCCACAGCUGCAGAGGGCUGCAGUGAAUGAAGGCUGGACCAGGAGACUGGACCAGGAGGC
Molecule: long non-coding RNA, 1889 nt
Organism: Macaca fascicularis (crab-eating macaque)
Lineage: Eukaryota; Metazoa; Chordata; Mammalia; Primates; Cercopithecidae
Source: Ensembl